CUAUCCCUGGGCAGAGUGAAGGUAAAGUAAAAUUUACUGGAGGCUCGAACCGGGUAGCGUUUAAAAGCUAUCGGAUGACCUGUGGAUAGGGGUGAAAAGCCAAUCGAACUCGGAUAUAGCUGGUUCUCCUCGAAAUAGCUUUAGGGCUAGCCUUGUUUUAGAUUACAGGAGGUAGAGCACUGAAUAGUCUAGGGGAAGUAAUUCUACCGAAACUUAUCAAACUCCGAAUGCCUGAAAAUCGAUGAACAGGAGUCAGACCAUGAGGGAUAAGCUUCAUAGUCAAAAGGGAAACAGCCCAGACCACCAGUUAAGGUCCCAAAAUACAGAUUAAGUGGGAAAGGAUGUAAUACUACUCAGACAACCAGGAUGUUGGCUCAGAAGCAGCCAUACAUUUAAAGAGUGCGUAAUAGCUCACUGGUCAAGUGGUAAUGCGCCGAAGAUGAACGGGGCUAAAUCUGAUACCGAAACUGUGGGAUAGAAAAGCAAUUAUGCGAGAAGUAUGAAGUUAAAGAUCAAGGAAAUAUAUCAACUAGUAAAGUAAGAGAGAAAAGACACAAACUAAAACUAUUAAACGAUACAAUUUCUAAAAAACUUAACAACAUACAACUGGCAUAAUAGCUUUUCUAUCGGUAGAGGAGCGUUGUAUAUGAAUUGAAGCAAAAAGCGUAAGCAAUUGUGGAUUAUAUACAAGUGAGAAUGCUGGCAUGAGUAGCGAAAAGGGAUGUGAGAAUCAUCCCCGUCGAAAGCCCAAGGAUUCCUGAGCAAGGCUCGUCCUCUCAGGGUAAGUCGGGACCUAAGGCGAGGCCGAAAGGCGUAGUCGAUGGACAACAGGUAGAAAUUCCUGUACUACAAGAUUGUGAUUGAGAGAAGUACUGACGCAGAAGGAAAAGUCGAGCGUGUGAAUGGUAGAACACGUCCAAGUAACAAGCCAGAAUAUACAGGCAAAUCCGUAUAUUCGCUAACGUAAGUUAUCAUGGGGAGCAGAAAGAUGCGAAGCGACAGAUUCAAACUGCCAAGAAAAGGUGCUAUCGAAUAAUCUUGUACCCGUACCGCAAACCGACACAGGUAGGCAAGAAGAGAAUUCUAAGACGCGCGGAAGAACCUUUGUUAAGGAACUCGGCAAAAUAAUCCCGUAAGUUAGCGAGAAGGGAUGCCUAAGAAAUUAGGUCGCAGAGAAUAGGCCCAAGCGACUGUUUACCAAAAACACAAGUAUCUGCUAAAUCGAAAGAUGAAGUA
This 1236-nucleotide ribosomal RNA is filed under the name Bacteroides ovatus. RNAcentral's name for it is "partial 23S ribosomal RNA". It matches the Rfam family "Bacterial large subunit ribosomal RNA", at positions 730 to 1845 of the family's 2925-position model. Lineage: Bacteria; Pseudomonadati; Bacteroidota; Bacteroidia; Bacteroidales; Bacteroidaceae. The record is from RNAcentral.